UGGUACUCCGCGUCUUACUUAAGCAUAUCAAUAAGCGGAGGAAAAGAAACCAACAGGGAUUGCCCUAGUAACGGCGAGUGAAGCGGCAACAGCUCAAAUUUGAAAUCUGGCUCUUUUAGAGUCCGAGUUGUAAUUUGCAGAGGGCGCUUUGGCUUUGGCAGCGGUCCAAGUUCCUUGGAACAGGACGUCACAGAGGGUGAGAAUCCCGUACGUGGUCGCUGGCUAUUGCCGUGUAAAGCCCCUUCGACGAGUCGAGUUGUUUGGGAAUGCAGCUCUAAAUGGGAGGUACAUUUCUUCUAAAGCUAAAUAUUGGCCAGAGACCGAUAGCGCACAAGUAGAGUGAUCGAAAGAUGAAAAGCACUUUGGAAAGAGAGUCAAACAGCACGUGAAAUUGUUGAAAGGGAAGCGCUUGCAGCCAGACUUGCUUACAGUUGCUCAUCCGGGUUUCUACCCGGUGCACUCUUCUGUAGGCAGGCCAGCAUCAGUUUGGGCGGUAGGAUAAAGGUCUCUGUCACGUACCUCCUUUCGGGGAGGCCUUAUAGGGGAGACGACAUACUACCAGCCUGGACUGAGGUCCGCGCAUCUGCUAGGAUGCUGGCGUAAUGGCUGUAAGCGGCCCGUCUUGAAACACGGACCAAGGAGUCUAACAUCUAUGCGAGUGUUUGGGUGUCAAGCCCGAGCGCGUAAUGAAAGUGAACGGAGGUGGGAACCCGCAAGGGUGCACCAUCGACCGAUCCUGAUGUCUUCGGAAGGAUUUGAGUAAGAGCAUGGCUGUUGGGACCCGAAAGAUGGUGAACUAUGCUUGAAUAGGGUGAAGCCAGAGGAAACUCUGGUGGAGGCUCGCAGCGGUUCUGACGUGCAAAUCGAUCGUCAAAUUUGGGCAUAGGGGCGAAAGACUAAUCGAG
This 905-nucleotide ribosomal RNA is filed under the name Alternaria italica. RNAcentral describes it as "LSU rRNA". It matches the Rfam family "Eukaryotic large subunit ribosomal RNA", at positions 24 to 939 of the family's 3401-position model. The record is from RNAcentral. Lineage: Eukaryota; Fungi; Ascomycota; Dothideomycetes; Pleosporales; Pleosporaceae.